GAGAGAGUUAUAGCAAGAACUGCUAAUUCAUGCUCCCCAUAUUUAAACAUAUGGCUUUCUCG
This 62-nucleotide transfer RNA is filed under the name Scapanulus oweni (Gansu mole). RNAcentral's name for it is "tRNA-Ser". Lineage: Eukaryota; Metazoa; Chordata; Mammalia; Eulipotyphla; Talpidae. The record is from RNAcentral.